Meriones unguiculatus (Mongolian gerbil) is the source of this 468-nucleotide long non-coding RNA. RefSeq lists it as uncharacterized. The record is from RefSeq and is a predicted model, not a curated record. The transcript has 3 exons. Lineage: Eukaryota; Metazoa; Chordata; Mammalia; Rodentia; Muridae.
GCGAAAUCCCUGCAUCCUUGAGGAGCGUUCGAAACUGGACCAGAGAAGUUUGGGAGGUGGAUGUCCCUUGGCCUGCCCUGUGUCACCCACGUAGGCUCGCAGGUCCCGGAUGCGCUCAAGCUCCAGGUGCUCUGAGCCUCGCCCUUCUUGUUUGGACCGGCCCAUAGUCUCCUUAAGAGGGGUGUGGGUGUGGCUGCUACUGGGCAAUGUGAGCCAGGAUUCCCCACAGAGGGUUGCCAUGUAACCCACCAUGCCUGUCCUGUCAUGUACAAUCGUGAUGCUGCUACAGGAAAAGCAGAGUUUGCAGCCAACCUAGCCUAUUUCUUCUGGAUUCCAACUAUGUUGAAGACCAGCUCAGCCUUCCAGCCUGGUGGACUGAACAACUAUUGGAUUCUUGAACUUUCCAUCAAGAGACAGCCACUAUUGGACUAACUGGACCACAGCCUGUAUGCCACUCUAAUCACAUGU